This 590-nucleotide ribosomal RNA is filed under the name Colletotrichum gloeosporioides. RNAcentral's name for it is "eukaryotic LSU rRNA". The stretch from base 232 to 385 matches the Rfam family "5.8S ribosomal RNA". Lineage: Eukaryota; Fungi; Ascomycota; Sordariomycetes; Glomerellales; Glomerellaceae. The record is from RNAcentral.
UUAGAGGAAGUAAAAGUCGUAACAAGGUCUCCGUUGGUGAACCAGCGGAGGGAUCAUUACUGAGUUUACGCUCUACAACCCUUUGUGAACAUACCUAUAACUGUUGCUUCGGCGGGUAGGGUCUCCGCGACCCUCCCGGCCUCCCGCCUCCGGGCGGGUCGGCGCCCGCCGGAGGAUAACCAAACUCUGAUUUAACGACGUUUCUUCUGAGUGGUACAAGCAAAUAAUCAAAACUUUUAACAACGGAUCUCUUGGUUCUGGCAUCGAUGAAGAACGCAGCGAAAUGCGAUAAGUAAUGUGAAUUGCAGAAUUCAGUGAAUCAUCGAAUCUUUGAACGCACAUUGCGCCCGCCAGCACUCUGGCGGGCAUGCCUGUUCGAGCGUCAUUUCAACCCUCAAGCUCUGCUUGGUGUUGGGGCCCUACAGCUGAUGUAGGCCCUCAAAGGUAGUGGCGGACCCUCCCGGAGCCUCCUUUGCGUAGUAACUUUACGUCUCGCACUGGGAUCCGGAGGGACUCUUGCCGUAAAACCCCCAAUUUUCCAAAGGUUGACCUCGGAUCAGGUAGGAAUACCCGCUGAACUUAAGCAUAUC